This 497-nucleotide ribosomal RNA is filed under the name uncultured bacterium. RNAcentral's name for it is "partial 16S ribosomal RNA". It matches the Rfam family "Bacterial small subunit ribosomal RNA", at positions 28 to 507 of the family's 1533-position model. The record is from RNAcentral.
GAUGAACGCUGGCGGCGUGCCUAAUACAUGCAAGUCGAGCGAACAGAUAAGGAGCUUGCUCCUUUGACGUUAGCGGCGGACGGGUGAGUAACACGUGGGUAACCUACCUAUAAGACUGGAAUAACUCCGGGAAACCGGGGCUAAUGCCGGAUAACAUUUAGAACCGCAUGGUUCUAAAGUGAAAGGUGGUUUUUCUAUCACUUAUAGAUGGACCCGCGCCGUAUUAGCUAGUUGGUAAGGUAACGGCUUACCAAGGCAACGAUACGUAGCCGACCUGAGAGGGUGAUCGGCCACACUGGAACUGAGACACGGUCCAGACUCCUACGGGAGGCAGCAGUAGGGAAUCUUCCGCAAUGGGCGAAAGCCUGACGGAGCAACGCCGCGUGAGUGAUGAAGGUCUUCGGAUCGUAAAACUCUGUUAUUAGGGAAGAACAAAUGUGUAAGUAACUGUGCACGUCUUGACGGUACCUAAUCAGAAAGCCACGGCUAACUACGUG